RNAcentral lists this transfer RNA (73 nucleotides) under Dipodomys ordii (Ord's kangaroo rat). It matches the Rfam family "tRNA". From Rfam's summary of the family: Transfer RNA (tRNA) molecules are approximately 80 nucleotides in length. Lineage: Eukaryota; Metazoa; Chordata; Mammalia; Rodentia; Heteromyidae. The record is from Rfam by way of RNAcentral.
GGGGGCAUGGCUCAAGAGGGAGAGCACCUGCCUUGCAAGUGUGAAGCCCUGAAUUCAAUCUCCAGUGCCACCA